This 84-nucleotide ribosomal RNA is filed under the name Aotus nancymaae (Ma's night monkey). The record is from RNAcentral. Lineage: Eukaryota; Metazoa; Chordata; Mammalia; Primates; Aotidae.
UCCACUGGCCAUAUCAUCCUGAACGUGCCCAAUCUCGUCUGAUCUCAGAAGCUAAUCAGGGUCAGGCCUGGUUAAUUCUUGGAU